AACGAACGCUGGCGGCGUGCCUAACACAUGCAAGUCGAGCGAGAAAGCCCGCAAGGGUGAGUACAGCGGCGCACGGGUGCGUAACACGUGGGUAAUCUGCCCUGAAGUCCGGAAUAACUCGCCGAAAGGCGUGCUAAUGCCGGAUGAGACCACGGGAGCUUCGGCUCCUGCGGGAAAAGGUGGCCUCUGUAUACAAGCUAUCACUUCAGGAUGAGCCCGCGGCCCAUCAGCUCGUUGGCGGGGUAAUGGCCCACCAAGGCUACGACGGGUAGCUGGUCUGAGAGGACGAUCAGCCACACUGGAAUUGAGACACGGUCCAGACUCCUACGGGAGGCAGCAGUGGGGAAUCUUGCGCAAUGGGCGAAAGCCUGACGCAGCAACGCCGCGUGUGUGAUGAAGGUCUUCGGAUCGUAAAGCACUGUCGCGAGGGACGAAUAAGGGGCGGGCUAACAUCCCGUUCCGAUGACGGUACCUCGAGAGGAAGCACCGGCUAACUCUGUGCCAGCAGUCGCGGUAAUACAGAGGGUGCAAGCGUUGUUCGGAAUUAUUGGGCGUAAAGCGCGUGUAGGCGGCUUUGUAAGUUGGGUGUGAAAGCCCUCGGCUUAACCGAGGAAGUGCGCCCAAAACUGCAUGGCUUGAGUACCGGAGAGGGUGGCGGAAUUCCCGGUGUAGAGGUGAAAUUCGUAGAUAUCGGGAGGAACACCAGCGGCGAAGGCGGCCACCUGGACGGAUACUGACGCUGAGACGCGAAAGCGUGGGGAGCGAACAGGAUUAGAUACCCUGGUAGUCCACGCUGUAAACGAUGAGCGCUAGGUGUUGUGGGUGUUGACCCCUGCAGUGCCGCAGCUAACGCAUUAAGCGCUCCGCCUGGGAAGUACGGCCGCAAGGCUA
RNAcentral lists this ribosomal RNA (891 nucleotides) under uncultured bacterium. Its description in RNAcentral is "bacterial SSU rRNA". It matches the Rfam family "Bacterial small subunit ribosomal RNA", at positions 28 to 896 of the family's 1533-position model. The record is from RNAcentral.